CGGGGAGGUAGUGACGAAAAAUAACGAUACGGGACUCAUCCGAGGCCCCGUAAUCGGAAUGAGUACACUUUAAAUCCUUUAACAAGGACCAAUUGGAGGGCAAGUCUGGUGCCAGCAGCCGCGGUAAUUCCAGCUCCAAUAGCGUAUAUUAAAGUUGUUGCGGUUAAAAAGCUCGUAGUUGAAUCUGUGUGUCACAGUGUCGGUUCACCGCUCGCGGUGUCUAACUGGCAUUAUGUGGUACGUCCUACCGGUGGGCUUAGCUCCUUGCGGGCGGUCCAACUAAUCUCCCAUCGCGGUGCUCUUCACUGAGUGUCGAGGUGGGCCGGUACGUUUACUUUGAACAAAUUAGAGUGCUCAAAGCAGGCUACCUUCGCCUGAAUACUGCGUGCAUGGAAUAAUGGAAUAGGACCUCGGUUCUAUUUUGUUGGUUUUCGGAACCCCGAGGUAAUGAUUAGUAGGGACAGAUGGGGGCAUUCGUAUUGCGACGUUAGAGGUGAAAUUCUUGGAUCGUCGCAAGACGGACUAAAGCGAAAGCAUUUGCCAAAAAUGUUUUCAUUAAUCAAGAACGAAAGUUAGAGGUUCGAAGGCGAUCAGAUACCGCCCUAGUUCUAACCAUAAACGAUGCCAGCUAGCGAUCCGCCGAAGUUCCUCCGAUGACUCGGCGGGCAGCUUCCGGGAAACCAAAGCUUUUGGGUUCCGGGGGAAGUAUGGUUGCAAAGCUGAAACUUAAAGGAAUUGACGGAAGGGCACCACCAGGAGUGGAGCCUGCGGCUUAAUUUGACUC
Molecule: ribosomal RNA, 784 nt
Filed under: Eucera angustior
Lineage: Eukaryota; Metazoa; Arthropoda; Insecta; Hymenoptera; Apidae
Description: SSU rRNA
Rfam family: Eukaryotic small subunit ribosomal RNA
Source: RNAcentral